This 70-nucleotide transfer RNA is filed under the name Anguilla anguilla (European eel). RNAcentral describes it as "tRNA-OTHER". It matches the Rfam family "tRNA". Rfam says of the family: Transfer RNA (tRNA) molecules are approximately 80 nucleotides in length. The record is from RNAcentral. Lineage: Eukaryota; Metazoa; Chordata; Actinopteri; Anguilliformes; Anguillidae.
GGCACAGUGGUGCAGUGGCACUGUUGCCUUACAGCAAGAAGGUUCUGGGUUCAAAUCCCAGCCUGGGCCU